Long non-coding RNA from Spodoptera frugiperda (fall armyworm), 1715 nucleotides. RefSeq lists it as uncharacterized. Lineage: Eukaryota; Metazoa; Arthropoda; Insecta; Lepidoptera; Noctuidae. The record is from RefSeq and is a predicted model, not a curated record. The transcript is spliced from 2 exons.
UACACGCGGCUACGAUAACUAGUAUACACCAACACAUCGACACAACUAUCGCUACACAAUAUCCCUGUGUGGGUAUUCCGUAGUAAUGUGCAUAAAAACGUUUGUUCAUUACGCACACAUUGGUAUAUACUAUAAAUUAUUGUGUCGGUAUAUGUAAGAAUUUCGUAAAAGAUUUUAUGAAUAAAAACAAGGGUAGACAUAAAAAUAAUACUUAACAAACAUUUAAUAAAUCGAACAACGAAAGAUCGAGCUACACAAAUUAUACCCAUACAAAUAUAUCUAAAGGAAUCUUCUCGUCGUAUAUUUAUAUUAUUGAAUCGAUUACAAUAUUUCGUAACAUUUAUUAAUUGCACGUUUGGCGUAAUGGUUAACGCUUUGAAUUAUCAGGCAAGGUGUCGCAGGAUCGAACCCAGCAAUAAAAAGUUCUUUUUGUAGUGUUUAUCAAAUAUUUUUAAACAACAUCUAAUUCUAAAUUUCUAAUGAUUCGAUACUUGAGUAUUAAAUUUGUAAUGUUUGUGGCGACCACGCAACUCUCGGGUCAUUUUAUUUAGCCCGUUUAUAAAGUAACUACCGUCAAUUCUUUAAAUGUUUUCCAGAUCACCCAACUUACAAAAUAAAAUUAUAUUCUUAGUUGUCAAUUUAUGAGCAUUUCAUUUUCAUAGUUUAUUGCUACAUAAUUCGUGUGUAAAGCUCAACAUAUCUCAACACUUCACAAAUUUGAAAAAGGCAGAAGUAAUUAUUUUGCACGAACAAAAGAUAGAUCUUUUCUUUAGUGAAAUAGAAAGGCGCUUAACGAUAUCGUGUAAGUCCGUGCAGUUAUGGGUGCGCAGAUAUGCGGAGACUGGUGAUAUUGAAAAUUGCCAAGCUGGGCCGAAGCCGAAGGCAAAUUCGUUAGCCCGGCACUACGACAUCAUAGCCAGGCAUAAGGCUGAUUCCUUUUUCAACACGCACUGCAGCAACGGCACUCGAUGUUUUCACGCAAACAAUAAGGAGGCACCUGCAUUCUGGUUUAAGGUGCAGGGAGCCACCCAAAAAGAUAUUGCUGCCCACAAUGCACCAGGAACAGCGAUAAAAUUUUGCCAGAAGUUUUAUAAAUUUUGAUAGGGCUAAUAAUGUGGUUAUAUUUAACGAUGUAAAUAAUUAAUUUCAUGCUAGCAGCAUAAAGUUUAAAUUUAUUUGUAUUGAAUAUUUUUUUUGCGUUAACGCUGAGUUAUAUCGAUUUAUUUUUCGAUAAUCAGUUACUGAGCCAUCAGCCAAAUUAUAUAUAGUCCAAAUUAACUACAAUGUUUAUAUUUUUAAAAUAAUAUUAAAAUGCAGUCUAGAAAAUACGGUGAAGUGAUGUUAUUGUUAUGCGGUUAGAAAUUGUCAUAAUUUCUUUCUAUUCAACAUGUUAAUUCACUUCAUUUCUCAUUUUUAAUAACUUAUGUAACUGCUGUUCAACUAAUUUGAAACAUUAUAUUUACGCUCAUCCUUAACCAACUUAGAGUAUGAUUCGAAAUGUUAUAAUGUUAAAAACUUAUUUGUAUUAAUCGUCACAUUUUUGCUAACAUAUUGCCCACUCGAUAUUGAAUCUUAUAGCAACAGCCUUAAAACACAAAAUGGAGAAUUCUAAUAACAAAAAUUUGCUAAUUUCAAGAAAUAACAAUAUUUACUGUGAAGCGGAAAUUUGGAAAACAAUGUUUUAAUUAAAUUUUUAUAAUAAUUUUAUUUUUUAA